Molecule: long non-coding RNA, 784 nt
Organism: Ipomoea nil (Japanese morning glory)
Lineage: Eukaryota; Viridiplantae; Streptophyta; Magnoliopsida; Solanales; Convolvulaceae
Exons: 2
Source: RefSeq, a predicted model, not a curated record
GAAACAAGCUGACCGGAUUCAUCCCAGACAAGAUUGGUGAGAUGAGGUCGCUAGAGAGUCUCGACCUGUCAAACAAUCAACUUUCUGGAGCAAUACCACCGAGCCUUGCUAGUAUAUCAUUUCUUGCUCACUUGGACUUGUCGAACAACAAUUUGUCUGGUUGUAUUCCACUCGGCACUCAGUUGCAAGGAUUCAGUGAGGCUUAUCAGGGAAAUUCAAAGCUACGAGGGCCUCCACUUCCAACAAACUGUCAUAGAGAUGAACCUAGAAAUGCUCCACAACAAGGGGGAAUUGAUGAAAUUGAAGAAGAUGAAGGAUGGAUAAUUUGGGGCUUUGACUUCUUUGUGAGUUUGAUACUUGGAUUCAUUCUUGGUUUUUGGGGAGUAUGCGGAACCUUAAUACUCAAGCGUUCUUGGAGACAUGCAUACUUCCAAUUUUUAGAAGACAAAAAAGAAAAGCUUUGCACUGCCAUUGUAAUCUAUGGAGCCAAAUUGAAGAGAGGCAUGGGAGUUAGCUAGAUUGAAGUAAAAGGAUCAACUCAUCUUCUUGAGCUGCAGGAAGUACGAAUGAAGGCCAUUGGAGUACCUCCGAUCCAUGUCAUUCUAAAUAAAGUUCAAUCAUGUGCAUGUAUUUGUGUGUUUGUAUUCAUAUUUCAAGUCAUGUAAUUCUAUUUUGUUCUAUAUUGUGUGUAUUGAGGUUCUACAAUUAUUAUAUCAUAGUCUACCUUGUAAGGUGGACUAUUGAAAUAAAGUUCAUUUUAAAUAUAUCGAAGUUUCAUUUUUAA